Molecule: ribosomal RNA, 420 nt
Filed under: uncultured bacterium
Lineage: Bacteria
Description: bacterial SSU rRNA
Rfam family: Bacterial small subunit ribosomal RNA
Source: RNAcentral
AACGCGAAGAACCUUACCAAGGCUUGACAUAUACCGGAAACGGCUAGAGAUAGUCGCCCCCUUGUGGUCGGUAUACAGGUGGUGCAUGGUUGUCGUCAGCUCGUGUCGUGAGAUGUUGGGUUAAGUCCCGCAACGAGCGCAACCCUUGUUCUGUGUUGCCAGCAUGCCCUUCGGGGUGAUGGGGACUCACAGGAGACUGCCGGGGUCAACUCGGAGGAAGGUGGGGACGACGUCAAAUCAUCAUGCCCCUUAUGUCUUGGGCUGCACACGUGCUACAAUGGUCGGUACAAAGGGUUGCCAAACCGCGAGGUGGAGCUAAUCCCAUAAAACCGUUCGUAGUCCGGAUUGGAGUCUGCAACUCGACUCCAUGAAGUCGGAAUCGCUAGUAAUCGUAAAUCAGAACGUUACGGUGAAUACGUU